Non-coding RNA from Thamnophis sirtalis, 1640 nucleotides. Lineage: Eukaryota; Metazoa; Chordata; Lepidosauria; Squamata; Natricidae. The record is from RefSeq and is a predicted model, not a curated record.
CCUCCUCCCCGCCGCUUGGCGCGGGCAUAAAAGCCGCCCGCCGCCUCUCCACCUCAGGAGUAGUACUUGCGGGACGCGACGAGCAGCGCUCCUGGCACGAGCAGACAUGGGCAGGGCGCUGGCUUGGCGGCUGGUCUUCGGGCUUUUUCUCCUGGCGUUGCUUUCACCCUCUCAGGGAGGAGAAAAUAAAACAAGUACUGAUGCUCCGGGCAAUAAUUCAGCUGUGACUGCUGUGUCACUUAGCACAAACACCACCAAAGGACAUGGAAAUAAUCUUCAGUCAACUACUGGCCUCUUCAUACUCUCGGUCUCUCUUCUGUACUUUUGUUAAAGCAUCUGGUCUGGGAAAACAACAUCCUUCCCUACCAAGUUUCCUAAUUCAUCUAAGAUGGUGAGACCUUCGUAUUCUGAGAAUUAUAAAAAAACAACAACAUAAAAUACUUGUAUCCAGCCAGUACAGUUUAAGCAACAGUUAAAUCACAGUUACCAAAUUGACCAAGACUCUUGAUAAGUAUACCUGAUGAAUUGAAUCAAUCUUCCUUCAAAAAUAAUUUGAUUCACAAAGCAACCUAUGGACUCCAAUAUUCCACACCUUGAACUCCUAAUGUAAGAGAAAUACAACUUGACAAACCAUGGAUCAUGCCUUCAGAGAGGAAAGAGUUGAUAAAGCUACACAAAAUAAGCUUAAUUUGAAAAUGACGCUCAUCCUCUAAGCUUAUAAAACCAGUAAAAAAAUGAAAAAAAAAGCACCGAAUGUUUUUUUUUCUCCAUUUAAGAUCCAAGGAUAUCCAGCAGAAGUAAUUCCAUUCAAAAUUUCACUUUGGAAUUUUCUAAUUAUUCCAUUGAUUUAAAAAAAAAUCUGUUAUAAAGGUUCAAAAUUGAAGUUUGCAUAAUUUAAAACCAAUUGGAAAACAUUUACUGUAUUUUUUCAAUGUUAUUAAAGCUGUAAGUGAACCAAAUGCACCAGCAGAAUAAGAUAUAUAAAAUCUAUUAUAAGAAUAUUUGCUAAUAGCUAAUAUAAAAUAAGUAAUAAGGAAAUAAGGAAUCAACUUACAUAAUUAAACUUGAAUAGUUUUUCUUAUGGUAGCCUCCUCCUAAAAGUUUCUGGGGGUAAUUUCUAAAUGUCAGUUUUGGUGCAAUUAGUGUUUAUUUGAUCCUUUCAAUGAAACAUCUUUGGGCAAAUAAUUUUAUGUUGAGUGAAAAUACACAAUGUUUAAAUCCUGAAAUAUUAAUCCUUAAAGUGUGUAUCUUUUAACGAUUGAAACUGAUAUUUUUGCACAAAUUAUUUCUAUGCUAAAUGUUCUGUACAGUAAUUUGAACUAAAGCUGGUACUAAAAUGUUAUUCAAAUGUUUGGCUUUUCAGAAAUAAAUAAUGGAAAGUCUUGUAGGCAGAACCACACCCAUAGUCUUGUUCAGUUAGUAUGCGUGAUCAUGGCUUUUUAAAUGCACACUUGUCUCUUUGAUUUAGUCAUUUACCCAGAGUCUGUACACAUCCAUUGCAUUGUCAGGUACCUACAUAAUAAAACAUGGGGGUGGGGGGAGGGAUGUAUGCAUUCCUUUUGUAUUGAGUACAUGUUUGACUUCAUUAUGUGAUUAUGCUAUAAUUUUAAAUCAAACUACAAAUAAAACAAUGGAUCUAA